UACGUAGGGUGCGAGCGUUACUCGGAAUUACUGGGCGUAAAGCGUGCGCAGGCGGUUUUGUAAGCCCGAUGUGAAAUCCCCGGGCUUAACCUGGGAAUGGCAUUUGGGACUGCAAGGCUUGAGUUUGGCAGAGGAGACUGGAAUUCCUGGUGUAGCAGUGAAAUGCGUAGAUAUCAGGAGGAAUACCGAUGGCGAAGGCAGGUCUCUGGGCUAGAACUGACGCUCAUGCACGAAAGCGUGGGGAGCAAACAGG
This 253-nucleotide ribosomal RNA is filed under the name uncultured bacterium. RNAcentral's name for it is "partial 16S ribosomal RNA". It matches the Rfam family "Bacterial small subunit ribosomal RNA", at positions 524 to 776 of the family's 1533-position model. The record is from RNAcentral.